UACGUAGGGUGCGAGCGUUAAUCGGAAUUACUGGGCGUAAAGCGUGCGCAGGCGGUUUUGUAAGCCAGAUGUGAAAUCCCCGGGCUUAACCUGGGAAUGGCAUUUGGGACUGCAAGGCUUGAGUGCGGCAGAGGAGACUGGAAUUCCUGGUGUAGCAGUGAAAUGCGUAGAUAUCAGGAGGAACACCGAUGGCGAAGGCAGGUCUCUGGGCUGACACUGACGCUCAUGCACGAAGCGUGGGGAG
Molecule: ribosomal RNA, 244 nt
Filed under: uncultured bacterium
Lineage: Bacteria
Description: partial 16S ribosomal RNA
Rfam family: Bacterial small subunit ribosomal RNA
Source: RNAcentral